UACGUAGGGACCGAGCGUUGUCCGGAAUCAUUGGGCGUAAAGAGCGUGUAGGCGGCUUGCUAAGUCCUGCGUGAAAUCUCGGGGCUCAACCCCGAGCGGUCGUGGGAAACUGGCAGGCUAGAGUGCGGGAGAGGAGAGUGGAAUUCCUGGUGUAGCGGUGAAAUGCGCAGAUAUCAGGAAGAACACCCGUGGCGAAGGCGACUUCCUGGCCUGUUCUUGACGCUGAGGCGCGAAAGCUAGGGUAGCAAACGGG
This 253-nucleotide ribosomal RNA is filed under the name uncultured bacterium. RNAcentral's name for it is "partial 16S ribosomal RNA". It matches the Rfam family "Bacterial small subunit ribosomal RNA", at positions 524 to 776 of the family's 1533-position model. The record is from RNAcentral.